Molecule: ribosomal RNA, 689 nt
Filed under: Ganoderma pseudoferreum
Lineage: Eukaryota; Fungi; Basidiomycota; Agaricomycetes; Polyporales; Polyporaceae
Description: eukaryotic LSU rRNA
Rfam family: 5.8S ribosomal RNA (bases 276-429)
Source: RNAcentral
UAUCUCUUUGGUCAAAUUAGACGAAGUAAAAGUCGUAACAAGGUUUCCGUAGGUGAACCUGCGGAAGGAUCAUUACCGAGUCUUGACUGGGUUGUAGCUGGCCUUCCGAGGCAUGUGCACGCCCCGCUCAUCCACUCUACACCUGUGCACUCACUGUGGGCUUCAGACCGUGAAGCGGGCUCUUUGCUGGGCUUGCGAAGCGUGUCUGUGCCUGCGUUUAUUACAAACUCUAUAAAGUAUCAGAAUGUGUAUUGCGAUGUAACGCAUCUAUAUACAACUUUCAGCAACGGAUCUCUUGGCUCUCGCAUCGAUGAAGAACGCAGCGAAAUGCGAUAAGUAAUGUGAAUUGCAGAAUUCAGUGAAUCAUCGAAUCUUUGAACGCACCUUGCGCUCCUUGGUAUUCCGAGGAGCAUGCCUGUUUGAGUGUCAUGAAAUCUUCAACCUACAAGCUUUUGUGGUUUUGUAGGCUUGGACUUGGAGGCUUGUCGGCCGUUCUCGGUCGGCUCCUCUUAAAUGCAUUAGCUUGGUUCCUUGCGGAUCGGCUCUCGGUGUGAUAACGUCUACGCCGCGACCGUGAAGCGUUUGGCGAGCUUCUAACCGUCUCAGUUGAAGACAGCUUUAUGACCUCUGACCUCAAAUCAGGUAGGACUACCCGCUGAACUUAAGCAUAUCAAUAAACCCGGAGGAAA